AGUAACUGCGAGUGAAGCGGCAAAAGCUCAAAUUUGAAAUCGGUGUGCCUAAGGUACAUUGAGUUGUAAUUUGGAGGGACAACUUCGGGCUGAACCACACCGUAAGUUCCUUGGAACAGGACAUCAUAGAGGGUGAGAAUCCCGUGUCUUGGUGUCGGGUCAAACCAUGUGAAGUGUCUCCGACGAGUCGAGUUGUUUGGGAAUGCAGCUCAAAAUGGGUGGUAAAUUUCAUCUAAAGCUAAAUAUUGGCGAGAGACCGAUAGCGCACAAGUAGAGUGAUCGAAAGAUGAAAAGCACUUUGAAAAGAGAGUUAAAAAGUACGUGAAAUUGUUGAAAGGGAAGCGCUUACGACCAGACUCGAUCUUUGGUGAUCAGCCAGACUUCGGUUUGGUGCCCUUGCCAUUGAUUGGGCCAGCAUCGGUUCCGGCGGUGGGAUAAAAGGAGGAGGAAUGUAGCUCCUCUCGGGGAGUGUUAUAGCCAACUUCACAAUGCUACCAGCUGGGACCGAGGACCGCGCUUCGGCUAGGAUGCUGGUGUAAUGGUCUUAAGCGACCCGUCUUGAAACACGGACCAAGGAGUCUAACAUCUAUGCGAGUGUUCGGGUGGAAAACCCUUGCGCGUAAUGAAAGUGAACGGAGGUGUGAACCCUUCACGGGGUGCAACAUCGACCGGUCCUGAUGUCUUCGGAAGGAUCUGAGUAAGAGCAUAGCUGUUGGGACCCGAAAGAUGGUGAACUAUGCCUGAAUAGGGUGAAGCCAGAGGAAACUCUGGUGGAGGCUCGCAGCGGUUCUGACGUGCAAAUCGAUCGUCAAAUUUGGGUAUAGGGGCGAAAGACUAAUCGAACCAUCUAGUAGCUGGUUCCUGC
RNAcentral lists this ribosomal RNA (865 nucleotides) under Picoa sp. VI PA-2015. Its description in RNAcentral is "LSU rRNA". It matches the Rfam family "Eukaryotic large subunit ribosomal RNA", at positions 82 to 961 of the family's 3401-position model. The record is from RNAcentral. Lineage: Eukaryota; Fungi; Ascomycota; Pezizomycetes; Pezizales; Pyronemataceae.